This 7098-nucleotide long non-coding RNA is filed under the name Homo sapiens (human). RNAcentral's name for it is "HSALNT0276807". Lineage: Eukaryota; Metazoa; Chordata; Mammalia; Primates; Hominidae. The record is from RNAcentral.
CGGCCGGGCCGGCGCUGGGGGCUCAGCGCGGACCCCCGCCCCAGUCCGCCGCGUUGCCGCACCGUCACCGCCGACUGCGCGGCCCCGUGACCCCGCUGCGGGGCCCGGCAAGUUUCCGCAGCGCUGGGGACCACGCGGGCAGGGGCUGGGCCGCUCUCCGCCUGAGCGACCCCCACCGCGGCGCCCCGGGGUGCGGACAGGUCUUGCCGCGGGGCACAGCUGCUAGCUGGGGCGCCCACCUGGCAACCGGCACCUGCGGACCGCCCCCCGCCCCCCGCCCCCGCGCCCCUGGCCCGCGCUUCACCUGGGCGCACAGGUAGGAGGGCCGCCGGGGCGGGGAUCCCGGCGGACACUCACCCUCCAGCUCGUCCUCCGGGAUGUCCACCGGGCGCUGCUCCGACAGCAGGAGCGGAGAGCCCGGAACUAAGAACUGUAGACCCAGAGAGGUGAGACUGGCCCCAAGCACCUGGGUCCUCAAGAAGAGUCACCGUUUCCGUGCCAGGAGGAUCCAAGGUGGGGAAACUGAGGCUGAGAGAGAAGGACGUUGACCAAGGUCACAGGGCAGGAGCAGCAGGCCUGCCAGAUAAACGCAAAUGUUAUGGGACAUCAUCCCUUCUGGUGGCUCGAGCUCCCUGGCAUUCUGGGUCCUCACUCUGUGCCAGGCGCUGUGCAAGCACUGUAAGUACAUCAUCUUACUUACUCAUCCAAGGCAGACAUCAGUGACCCCGUUUUCUAGCUGAGCAAACUGGAGCACAAAGAGGUGAAGUGUCUUGCUUGGGGCCCCCAGCUGGAGGAGGCAGAGCAGCAUCUGCUCCCCAGACUUGGGUUCUUUCCUCCUCACCAGGGAGCACCGAGCCCAGUCCCACAUCCCAGGUUCCUCCCCUGCCAUGAGGAGGGGAAGGCCAAGACCGGGACCACCACUGCUUAGCCCAUACCGAGCCCCGCUGGGCCUCCCACUGCUGAGCCCCCUCAGAGGGUCGUGGGCUGCACCCAGGAAAUGUGAGGGGAGGGUCUCCUGUCCCACCCACUCUGAGCGGGGUGGGGCUGGGGGGAUUCUUCUCUGAGGUUGAGUUGCUGAAUGAGCCAGGCCCAUGAGGAGGACAAGGUUCAAGUCCCAGCUCCGAGAAGUCAGUUGGCCUCCCUGAGCCUCAGUUUCCUCCUCUGUCUUACAUGGGGAUAAUGGUAACUCUAUGGGGCUCUCAUGGGGGUCUCUGGUGAUGACUCCAGGUAAGGCCUAAGUGGGAGCUGCUGGCAUUCACUGGGCCCUAGUGUGCCUAAUGGUCGCGGCCUCCUCUGGGUACUGCUGUGAGGAUUAGGGAGAGACCAAGUGUGCCGAGGCCCACUCAGGUCACUGCUGGCGUUCUUUUCAUCCUCCCUAGGGCCUGGCCAGAGCAGGCAUUCAGAAGACAUUGUGGCCCCAACCCCACGCACACAGGAUCAGUGCUGGGGUUGGGACGGGGCCCAUCAGCCAAGCAGAACCUUGAUCUUGAUCUCCAGGUCUGAGGCCUGAAAACCAAGGUUUGCCCAACCCACCCCCAUCCUAGACUCAGCAUUUCCCAGGCACUCUCGAGCAUCCUAAAUUGCAUCCAUGUGCUCCAGCCUGGACAGGACCGAAGGUGGCUAAUACCAGUCCUGUCACCGGAGGGUCAGAAGCAGCACGCUUGGGGCAGACACACAGCAGCCACCAAGUCAGGCUCCCCUGUAACGCUGGGGGAGAGACCUCACGGGGCCCCUGAGCCCAGUGGAGGUCAUCCUUGAGUAUCCACAGCUCUUGGCCCCCUGGUGUCCCCCUCCCCAUACCUUCCCUGCCCUGAGGAGCUCCUGAGGGUGGGGUGUUUCCCUGAGCCCUGCCUUGCAGGGUUCUCCACCCUACACACAGCAUGCACUGGACACAGCAGGGAGGGGACUCUGGACUGGGGCUGGGAGCUGCCCCCACCACCUUCUGAGGGGAAGAAUCUGCCCCAGCUGGGAGCUGCUCUCCCAACUUGGCAUUUCCAGGGGCCCUUCCUACGUGAUGUGGGGAGCCCUGGCAUCCCCAGCCGCUCUCCCCCUUCCAUGGGAAAAGAGGAGGGAGGAGAGGAAAGCCGUAUUAAUAAAAGAAUAGGAUACUGCACUAACCCCACAGCAUGUGCGGCUCAGAAUAGCAAUGCGCCUUCUCAAGGCAAACAAAACUCCCCAGGUGUUAAUGCAAAUUCACUCCAGUUAAGAUGAAAGAGGGUUGUUUCCCCCUUUGCUGGUUAAUAUGAAGGACUUAAUAGAUUCAGCCUCAGGAACUCAGGAACUCGGGCUGGGUGCGGAAGGCUGGCGAGUGAGGAGGGGGAAGGAUGAAGGCGUGGGCAAAGAAGGGAGGUCCCAUGGGUUUCGGGGCAGAGCAACUGUCACAGCAGGCCCGGCCGACGCUGCGGCUCCUGCCACCCCCCUCUGCCACCCGGGCUGACAGGCGCUGGGCCUGGUUGCUCAAGAGGAAAACCCAGAGUGGCCAUGCCAAUCCCCGCCCUGGCGCCUGCUGCCUUUCACUUGAGCUCGGGGGCUGGCAGCAUGGUGGCCCCUCCCGAAUUUGUGCCAGAGGAUAGUGGGUCCAAGAGAAAGGAGGGAUGUGGUGGGAGCUCUAACACAGGCCCCAGGCUGGGGUCCCUGCAGGGCACCUGGUUCCACUCCGGCUCCCGGCCAUGGCUGUAGCCAUAGCCACUCCUGCGGUAUCCUGGGCCAGUCACUCCCAUUUUGGCUCCUUGGAAGGUGAAGCUGGCUUGACAUGGCCUUGGAGGACCUCGGGGGACCAGUCUGUGGAGUUGGAACCUAAGGGGGCCUCGAGUUCUGCUGGUCCAAACCUGACCUUCUAUAGCCAAGGCAUGGAAGCCCAGAGAGUGGAAGGGACUUACUCAAGGCCACACAGCAACAGGCGGAGAGCUGCAGGGGAUCAGAGCCCACAGCCAGCUGGCCUGAAGCGCAGGCUGGACCAUUGAGCUGCCUUCUGCUGGGACAGACAGGGCCCUGUCCUCCCAGAGUGGAGCUCCUCUCCAGCCCCGGGCUCCAGGCUAAUCUGCUCAUCCCAGAGCACUUGACUUUCUCAGAUAUAUUCCCUGGGAAUUAUCCUCUGCUGAAAAUCCCCAGGGCCCAAGGAGGGCCCCUGCUGGGGAGGAUGGAGACACCAUGCGCAGCUUGCCACAGCAGGGGUGUGCCAGGGUUCCUGGGGAGGCGCUGCCUGGCUCAGCUGGGGAUAAAGGGAGACUUCAGAGAUCCGGGGAGGGCCGGCCUGAGGCUGGGCUGUCCCUGUCGGUCCACUCCACUCCUCCAAAUUUAACUCCUCUCUCUCUCUCUCAGGGUAAAUGGCACAGCAGGUGCCUGCCUGGGACACCUCAGCAGCCUUCUUUGCUUUGUUUACCGACUUAAUUCCUUCAGAUCAAAGGCUGCCCCUUCCUCCCUGAGCAGGCAGAUGGGGAAUGACAUUAUUUAUAUCAGAAAUGGGCAAGGCUCCAUGGGACUUCUUCCUUAUGCCUGAUAAGAGAAAAUUAGGUCACUCCCGUGCCUCCCUGGCGUCUGCAGUUGGGUUUUUACAGCCCAGGUACUCACAGGCUCAGGGAAGAGCUCAUGUGCACAGUGUGGCCCACCUGGUUCUCUCCCACCCUGAGCCUCCAGUCAAUUAUUGACCUGAGCAGCCAGUAUUAAUGGGACAAAAUGAGAACAUCCUUCGCAGGCAGCUCCAGCCCGGAGUUAUCUAUCAUUUCCCGGGCUUUGCAGCUGGCACUGGGCAAACAUGGGCUUGGACAAACAGACCAGCUGCAGGCUCAUUAAGCUCAGGGUGCAGGUGGAGGGGAUGGAGGCCACAGGGGAGCCGUGAGUGGGCCUGAUCCCUCUGAGCUGUGACAUCCCCUGAGUCACUAUGGCUCUUUCCUUUGCUUCCUCUUGCCCUCUGCCCCCAAAAGAAGUAUCAGAAAAAAAGCCACCGUGUACCAAGUGGUGACUCACAUCUAGGCAAGGUGCUUAGAGCUUUCUGGGCAUUCGUAAUCCCCACAAAACCCUAUAAAAUUCCCAUUUUACAGGUGAAGAAAACUGCAGUGCCCAAUAGACUGGACAAUUUACGUAGGCUCACAUGGCUGGUCAGUGGCCUAGCAGGAACGCAGGUUUGUCUGUGUUCUGAGGCAGGGAGGGCUCUUAGCCUCUCAGCUGUGCCGUUUCCCCAGCUCCCCCUGCAGCUAAUGGUAGAGAUUUCACCUUUCUUCAGGCCAGCUGCGUCUAUUACUUGUAAGUUACGGUAACACUGCGACAGGUCCACACCCCUUUUCUUAGAAACCUGAGUGCAUUUUGUUCCUGUUUUUCACGUUAUCCUGACAACAUCCCCCGGGUACCCAGAGGCCUCACUGUCAACUGUCUUCACAGGGGGUGGAAGGUCUGGCCCUUGUGGGGAAGGAAGAGCCAGGUGCCCUCCACCUCUCUGCCCUGGGCAAGUGUGGCUUAGGGGAGGGGCGAGAUGCCUCUGGCUGCUCCCACUGCGGAGCCCUUCAAGAGAAGUCUUGAUUUCAGCUCAGAGGCAAAAUGCCAGGUGCUAUUCUGGGGCCAAGUUGGUGAGAAAUGGGCAUCAAGUGGAAACCAGGAGAGGACACGGCGGGGGUUCCUCUCCGAGUCAGCUCGAGUCCUUGCUGGGCAGAUUAACGGCCCUGUAAUUUUCCCCAGGUGCUCCCAUCACGGCGCAGAGGUCCAGAGCCAUCUCUCUGGAAGCGAGCUGCGGUCUCCCUACCGGAGCUGGGGCUGUGGCUAGGAUCCUGCCAUAAUGCAGUAAUGACAGGCUGCCAGGGAGCCCCACACGGCCUGGCAGGGGAGGGGGAGAGGAGCCCUUGGCCUCCCUCUCUCUGCUGGAGAUGACGCUGCCUGGGCUGUCUGAAAGGGAGACGGAGAACAUGCGGGUGCCCGACUUUCUCUUCCCCAGACGGCUAAGAAAUUGGACUAGAUACAGUCACAGCAGUCUUCUCGCCAAUACCUUUCCCCCCAGAGUUUCACUGCCAACUCUUCAUUAUAUGUGGGUGGCUCCUUAUCCUCUCUGCCACACGAAGGCUUCUGGGGUAGGCAGCCCUGGGGAACAGCUGUCAGGAACUCCCCACUCAGGCGAGGACCAAAGGCAAAGAAUGAAGUGCUAGCAGGGAGGCCAGAAUGAGCCACUUGGGGCUCCGAUGGGACUGGCGGCAAAUGCCACAGUGAAGCACUGAGGUCUGGCCCCCCCGCUUUGCAUUUACAGCAGGGUCACUACAGACUAGAAAAAACAGCAAAGAAUUCAACUGAUCUCCUCGAUACCAAAAUACCAUUAGAAUCAGUCAUUGGAACUCUGGUAUUAGUAAUUCUAACUCUACUUAGCGGGGACCUCUGACCUCAGGUCCCAUUUACUAUUUUGGUGGGGGUGGGGGGGCGUCGGGUUGUCUUUAAUAGAAAGGUUAGGUAAAAAUAUUGCCUGGACGGCUUUAAAUGACCAAUAUUUUUCAAAGUGCUUUCUUUGGCUUAGACUACGGAGGAAAUCAAACUGCUUCCAAUUACUAAAAAUAACAAUCUACAUUUGCAAAAUGAGUUUAUAUUAUUCAUCUAAUAAAAAGUCUAAUUAGUUACCUUUUUUUUUUGAGAUGGUCUCACUCUGUCACUUUUUUUUUUUUUUGAGACAGUCUCGCUGUUACCCAGGCUGGAGGGUAGUGGCAUGAUCUUGACUCACUACAGCCUCACACUCCCAGGUUUAAGUGAUCUUCCCACCUCAGCCUCCCAAAAAGCUGGGCCUAUAGGUGCAGCCACACCUGGCUAAUUUUUAAAUUUUUUUGUAGACACGGGGUCUCUCUAUGUGGCCCAGGUUGACCAAUUCUAUAUAUUCAAAGCUAACAACAAAUUGUUAAAACUUUUCAUAUUCUUGCCGGACACGGUGGCUCACGCCUGUAAUCCCAGCACUUUGGGAGGCCGAGGCGGGCAGAUUGCUUGAGGUCAGGAGUUCGAGACCAGCCUGGCCAACAUGGUGAAACCCCGUCUCUACUAAAAAUACAAAAAAAUUAGCUUGGCAUGGUGGCAGGUGCCUGUAAUCCCAGCUACUCAGGACGCUGAGGCAGCAGAAUCACUUGAACCGGGGAGGCAGAGGUUGCAGUGACCUGAGAUCAGGCCACUGCACUCCAGCCUGGGUGACACAGUGAGACUCUGUCUCAAAAAAAAAAGAAAAAAGAAAAAACUUUUCAUAUUCUUUAGUUUAUCCACUUCAAACAUCUUUCUAAAAAAAAAAACAAACACAAGUUAUGUAUAACUCAAAACAUUUUGGAAAGACGUUGUGUAUUUUGAUAGGCUGUUUUCCUCACUGGCUUGUGCAAUGGAAACCUGAAGUAUGUCCUGACAAGUGUGUCGAGUGGGUCCCUUAGAAGUCCCGGCAGCCACACUGUGCUGUCUGACUCUCCAACUGGGGCUGCAGUGCUUCGGGACAGAGUUAUCCUAUAGAAGUUUUGGUCUUAAUAAAGGACUUUUGUUGCUUAAGAAAACAGAAGCAAAACCCAAACUAUAAGCUCUGCAGUGGUGAUUUCCAACUUCAAGUGCAAAUGUCACAUAGCCCUGACAGUGGCUGCGCCUCAUUUACUCUGCAGACAGCGCCUGGGCCCCAGGGGCUCUGCAUGCACCCCCAGAGCCUGGAACGCCGAAAACAGAAAUGUCUGGAAGGAUCACCCAGCCCAGCUCCCUAGUUCUCUGGUCUGAAAUCACGGAUGGGCAGGGACCACAGAGAGGAAAUGGAGUGCUGGGACGCCAUGCAGGGCCCUUGCCACCCCCCAAGUGCCCCAGGAAGAGGGAGGCAGUUCCCUGGCGAAGGUGUCAUUAGAGGUCUGUGGAAGGAGGUGAUUCUUUUGCCACCAAAGACAAGGGGCCAGAGGUGAAGGCCCAAGCAGUGAGAGACAGCAGAGGGCUCGUUUCUCCACAGAACCACAAGACAGCCCCACCACCCAGCCGUGUUCUUGACGCCUCAAUGGCCUGAGCAACAGGCAAACUGAGGAAGCCCAAGGCAAGUAUUUUCCAGCUUAGAAUUUUUAUUAAAACAAUCAUUUAAGUUAUAAUCGUUCCCCAGAAUAGAAAAUAGCCUUCUAUGAUCUGGCCCUG